RNAcentral lists this ribosomal RNA (2935 nucleotides) under Acinetobacter baumannii. RNAcentral's name for it is "bacterial LSU rRNA". It matches the Rfam family "Bacterial large subunit ribosomal RNA". The record is from RNAcentral. Lineage: Bacteria; Pseudomonadati; Pseudomonadota; Gammaproteobacteria; Moraxellales; Moraxellaceae.
GUUGUAUAGUCAAGUAAUUAAGUGCAUGUGGUGGAUGCCUUGGCAGUCAGAGGCGAUGAAAGACGUGAUAGCCUGCGAAAAGCUCCGGGGAGGCGGCAAAUAUCCUUUGAUCCGGAGAUGUCUGAAUGGGGGAACCCACCUACUUUAAGGUAGGUAUUGCAACAUGAAUACAUAGUGUUGCAAGGCGAACGAGGGGAAGUGAAACAUCUCAGUACCCUUAGGAAAAGAAAUCAAUUGAGAUUCCCUCAGUAGCGGCGAGCGAACGGGGAUCAGCCCAUUAAGUUAUGUGUGUUUUAGUGGAACGCUCUGGGAAGUGCGAACGUAGAGGGUGAUAUUCCCGUACACGAAAGGGCACACAUAAUGAUGACGAGUAGGGCGAGGCACGUGAAACCUUGUCUGAAUAUGGGGGGACCAUCCUCCAAGGCUAAAUACUCCUGACUGACCGAUAGUGAACCAGUACCGUGAGGGAAAGGCGAAAAGAACCCCUGUGAGGGGAGUGAAAUAGAUCCUGAAACCGCAUGCAUACAAGCAGUGGGAGCACCUUCGUGGUGUGACUGCGUACCUUUUGUAUAAUGGGUCAGCGACUUAUAUUCAGUAGCGAGGUUAACCGUAUAGGGGAGCCGUAGAGAAAUCGAGUCUUAAUAGGGCGUUUAGUUGCUGGGUAUAGACCCGAAACCAGGCGAUCUAUCCAUGAGCAGGUUGAAGGUUGGGUAACACUAACUGGAGGACCGAACCCACUGUCGUUGAAAAGCCAGGGGAUGACUUGUGGAUAGGGGUGAAAGGCUAAUCAAGCCUGGUGAUAGCUGGUUCUCCCCGAAAGCUAUUUAGGUAGCGCCUCGGACGAAUACCAUAGGGGGUAGAGCACUGUUUCGGCUAGGGGGUCAUCCCGACUUACCAAACCGAUGCAAACUCCGAAUACCUAUGAGUACUAUCCGGGAGACAGACUGCGGGUGCUAACGUCCGUAGUCAAGAGGAAAACAAUCCAGACCGCCAGCUAAGGCCCCAAAAUCAUAGUUAAGUGGGAAACGAUGUGGGAAGGCAUAGACAGCUAGGAGGUUGGCUUANNNNNNNNNNGAAGCAGCCACCCUUUAAAGAAAGCGUAAUAGCUCACUAGUCGAGUCGGCCUGCGCGGAAGAUGUAACGGGGCUAAAACUAUGUGCCGAAGCUGCGGAUGUAUACUUUGUAUACGUGGUAGGGGAGCGUUCUGUAAGCCGAUGAAGGUGUGUUGAGAAGCNNNNNNNAUGCUGGAGGUAUCAGAAGUGCGAAUGCUGACGUGAGUAACGACAAAACGGGUGAAAAACCCGUUCGCCGAAAGACCAAGGGUUCCAGUCCAACGUUAAUCGGGGCUGGGUGAGUCGACCCCUAAGGCGAGGCCGAAAGGCGUAGUCGAUGGGAAAAUGGUUAAUAUUCCAUUACUUCUGUGUAAUGCGAUGAGAGGACGGAGAAGGCUAAAUCAGCCUGGCGUUGGUUGUCCAGGUGAAAGGAUGUAGGCAUGUAUCUUAGGCAAAUCCGGGGUACUCUAUGCUGAGAUCUGAUAGCAAGCUGUACUUGUACAGCGAAGUGGUUGAUGCCAUGCUUCCAGGAAAAGUCUCUAAGCUUCAGUUACACAGGAAUCGUACCCGAAACCGACACAGGUGGUCAGGUCGAGUAGACCAAGGCGCUUGAGAGAACUCUGCUGAAGGAACUAGGCAAAAUGGUACCGUAACUUCGGGAGAAGGUACGCUGUUGUUGGUGAUGGAACUCGCUUCCUGAGCUGACGACAGCCGCAGAAACCAGGCCGCUGCAACUGUUUAUUAAAAACAUAGCACUCUGCAAACACGAAAGUGGACGUAUAGGGUGUGAUGCCUGCCCGGUGCUGGAAGGUUAAUUGAUGGGGUUAGCGUAAGCGAAGCUCUUGAUCGAAGCCCCAGUAAACGGCGGCCGUAACUAUAACGGUCCUAAGGUAGCGAAAUUCCUUGUCGGGUAAGUUCCGACCUGCACGAAUGGCAUAAUGAUGGCGGCGCUGUCUCCAGCAGAGGCUCAGUGAAAUCGAAAUCGCUGUGAAGAUGCAGUGUACCCGCGGCUAGACGGAAAGACCCCGUGAACCUUUACUGCAGCUUGACACUGAACUUUGACCUUACUUGUGUAGGAUAGGUGGGAGGCUUUGAAGCUGGAACGCUAGUUCCAGUGGAGCCGUCCUUGAAAUACCACCCUGGUAAUGUUGAGGUUCUAACUCUGUCCCGUGAUCCGGGACGAGGACCGUGUCUGGUGGGUAGUUUGACUGGGGCGGUCUCCUCCUAAAGAGUAACGGAGGAGUACGAAGGUGCGCUCAGCGUGGUCGGAAAUCACGCGUAGAGUAUAAAGGCAAAAGCGCGCUUAACUGCGAGACCCACAAGUCGAGCAGGUACGAAAGUAGGUCUUAGUGAUCCGGUGGUUCUGUAUGGAAGGGCCAUCGCUCAACGGAUAAAAGGUACUCUGGGGAUAACAGGCUGAUACCGCCCAAGAGUUCAUAUCGACGGCGGUGUUUGGCACCUCGAUGUCGGCUCAUCUCAUCCUGGGGCUGAAGCAGGUCCCAAGGGUAUGGCUGUUCGCCAUUUAAAGAGGUACGCGAGCUGGGUUUAGAACGUCGUGAGACAGUUCGGUCCCUAUCUACCGUGGGCGCUGGAAAUUUGAGAGGAUCUGCUCCUAGUACGAGAGGACCAGAGUGGACGAACCUCUGGUGUACCGGUUGUGACGCCAGUCGCAUCGCCGGGUAGCUAUGUUCGGAAGGGAUAACCGCUGAAAGCAUCUAAGCGGGAAGCCUACCUCAAGAUAAGAUUUCCCUAGGACUUUAUGUCCUCUAAAGAGCCGUUCGAGACUAGGACGUUGAUAGGUUGGAUGUGGAAGCAUAGUGAUAUGUGAAGCUGACCAAUACUAAUUGCUCGUGAGGCUUGACUAUACAACACCCAAGCAGUUG